AGAGUUUGAUCAUGGCUCAGAUUGAACGCUGGCGGCAUGCCUAACACAUGCAAGUCGAACGGCAGCACGGUAGUGGGCAACCACUAUGGGUGGCGAGUGGCGGACGGGUGAGUAAGACGUAGGAAUCUACCUUAUAGAGUGGGACAACUUGGGGAAACUCGAGCUAAUACCGCAUGAGCUCUAAGGAGGAAAGCAGGGGACCGAAAGGCCUUGCGCUAUAAGAUGAGCCUACGGCGGAUUAGCUAGUUGGUAGGGUAAAGGCCUACCAAGGCGAAGAUCCGUAGCUGGUCUGAGAGGAUGAUCAGCCACACUGGGACUGAGACACGGCCCAGACUCCUACGGGAGGCAGCAGUGGGGAAUAUUGGACAAUGGGGGAAACCCUGAUCCAGCGAUGCCGCGUGUGCGAAGAAGGCCUGCGGGUUGUAAAGCACUUUGAGUAGGGAAGAAAAGGUGAGUGUGAAUAACGCUGACCAUUGACGUUACCUACAGAACAAGCACCGGCUAACUCUGUGCCAGCAGCCGCGGUAAUACAGAGGGUGCAAGCGUUAAUCGGAAUUACUGGGCGUAAAGGGCGCGUAGGUGGUUAUUUAAGUUAGAUGUGAAAGCCCCGGGCUUAACCUGGGAAGAGCAUCUGAUACUGGAUAGCUAGAGUAGAGGAGAGGGAAGUGGAAUUUCCGGUGUAGCGGUGAAAUGCGUAGAUAUCGGAAAGAACACCAGUGGCGAAGGCGGCUUCCUGGACUCAUACUGACACUGAGGCGCGAAAGCGUGGGGAGCAAACAGGAUUAGAUACCCUGGUAGUCCACGCUGUAAACGAUGAAGACUAGAUGUUGGUGGGGUAAACCCAUCGGUAUCGAAGCAAACGCGAUAAGUCUUCCGCCUGGGGAGUACGGCCGCAAGGUUAAAACUCAAAUGAAUUGACGG
Molecule: ribosomal RNA, 921 nt
Filed under: uncultured Gammaproteobacteria bacterium
Lineage: Bacteria; Pseudomonadati; Pseudomonadota; Gammaproteobacteria
Description: bacterial SSU rRNA
Rfam family: Bacterial small subunit ribosomal RNA
Source: RNAcentral